UUUAGAAGGUAUGGCACAUAUUGC
RNAcentral lists this non-coding RNA (24 nucleotides) under Arabidopsis thaliana (thale cress). Lineage: Eukaryota; Viridiplantae; Streptophyta; Magnoliopsida; Brassicales; Brassicaceae. The record is from RNAcentral.